This is a long non-coding RNA of Syngnathoides biaculeatus (alligator pipefish), 507 nucleotides long. RefSeq lists it as uncharacterized. NCBI's taxonomy places the organism in Eukaryota, Metazoa, Chordata, Actinopteri, Syngnathiformes, Syngnathidae. The transcript has 3 exons. The record is from RefSeq and is a predicted model, not a curated record.
UUUACUUGACAGAAGGGCAAGGCUAAACUGCCAAGGAAUUGGGAGAUUUUAUGCAACCGGCAAUACUGACCCCCCCAAAACCCAAACCGAAAAAGACAAACUAUAGAACACCCUGGACUGGUCGUGAGUCAAUCAUAGCGCACAUAUACAUAUCGUAAUUUAUAAGCCUGUAAGCCUAUAAGCCGUGACUUUUUUUUUUCCCCCACACGCUUCCAACUCUGUGGUUUAUGCGAUGAUGGGGCUAAUUUGUGCAUUUUUUUCUGACUGCCGCAAGGGGGCACUCGAGCGGAAAAGAGGAGGGCGACGCCUCGCAUGAUCCAGUGGUCGGGCGGGUGAGUGGUGCCCAGGAUCACGGCGGUGAUGUAAUUCAGGACUUUGUUAUUCAGGGUGACCGAGUCCAGAGCCCAGCCUUUGUUGGCCCUGGUCACCUCUUGCCUCAUAGCAGUGAGGAAUCCUGCACCACACAGUGACGUGACGUCGGCGAACGGGAAUUUGUAUCCAUUCAGC